This 389-nucleotide ribosomal RNA is filed under the name Cylindrotheca sp. RNAcentral's name for it is "partial small subunit ribosomal RNA". It matches the Rfam family "Eukaryotic small subunit ribosomal RNA", at positions 582 to 975 of the family's 1831-position model. The record is from RNAcentral. Lineage: Eukaryota; Bacillariophyta; Bacillariophyceae; Bacillariales; Bacillariaceae.
AUUCCAGCUCCAAUAGCGUAUAUUAAAGUUGUUGCAGUUAAAAAGCUCGUAGUUGGAUUUGUGGUGUACUUCGGCGGCCCGUCACUAUGUGAUGGAGCUUGCUGAAGUCGCCAUCCUUGGGUGGAUCCUGUGUGGCAUUAAGUUGUCGUGCAGGGGAUGCCCAUCGUUUACUGUGAAAAAAUUAGAGUGUUCAAAGCAGGCUUAUGCCGUUGAAUAUAUUAGCAUGGAAUAAUAAGGUAGGACCUUGGUACUAUUUUGUUGGUUUGCGCACCAAGGUAAUGAUUAAUAGGGACAGUUGGGGGUAUUCGUAUUUCAUUGUCAGAGGUGAAAUUCUUGGAUUUUUGAAAGACGAACUACUGCGAAAGCAUUUACCAAGGAUGUUUUCAUUA